CCACGGCAACCUCCCGGAGGCCGGCGCCCUUCUUCCGCGACGCGCGACGCCAGAGCUCGUUGGCCCUCCUCCUCUCUCUCCUCCGCCGCUCCGCCCGUCUUUCUCGCCCACCGCACACGCGUCGAGCAAAACCCUCGCCGAUCGCCCCCCCGCCCCGGACCGGCCGGAGGAGUCCGGCCGCCGAAUCACCUCGCCGGCGCCCUUGCCGCGCCGACAAGGAUCGCCUCGGCUCCGUCAAAUCCAGCCAUGAUUCGGGGCCGAGCUUUGAGAUCCCUUGCUACAGGGUUUGCCUUUUGUGGUAUUGGUUUGGAGGAAGUUAUGUGGCUGCGACAGACAUGUGGUGUUGGAGUGAACUCAGUUUGCGGCAUAUGACUCUGGGUAUUGCAUGGCUGCAGAUUAUUUGAAGAACGAUCCCUUUGAGAGGAAUGUCGAACAGGCAAUAACAACCCUGAAGAAAGGAACACACUUGUUGAAAUAUGGGCGGCGGGGAAAACCAAAAUUCUGCCCAUUCAGACUUUCCAAUGAUGAGGCUAUGCUCAUCUGGCACUCCGGGCGAAUGGAGAAGAAGCUAAACCUUAUUCAAGUAUCGAAAAUAAUUCCUGGACAGCGUACGGCUAUCUUCCUGAGACAUCCAAGACCUGAUAAAGAGCAUCAAUCAUUCUCCCUUAUAUAUGGGCAGAGAUCACUGGAUCUGAUCUGCAAAGAUAAGGACGAAGCAGAAGCCUGGUUUGUUGCUUUAAAGGCAAUUAUUUCACGACGAAACUGUAAGAAGUUGACAACAACAGAAACAAAAAAUGAUAAACCAUCUUAUUGCCCAAUUAACCAGAUGCAUGGAGAUUUACCAUUGGCAUCUUCUUGUUAUAGUACUGAUGUUGGAAAAAAGGUAUCGAAAGGUGUCCAACAGUGCGCCACAAAUCAUGAUGCUCGUCCAUUUGCCAAUUUUGGGAAUAUUUUUUCUGACGUGAUAUUAUACGCCGGGCAGGAGAGGAGUAGAGUUAGUACAGGUUCAGUUAGUUCUUCUAACUCCAGUAUAUCUGGAAGUGCAGAUACCUCAGAUGGGGGAAUAGCUGUUGAUAAUAACCUCAGAGUUAGCUAUUCAAGUGCAGUAAGUUCAUGCAGCUAUGGAUCAGGUGAUGAUUUUGAUGCAAUGGGGGAUGUUCUCCUUUGGGGCAAGGGAGUAGGUGAUGGCACGCUUGCUUAUUCUUCACAUUUAUCUGGAAACUUGUAUGGACCUAGAAUUGAUGCAUCUUUACCAAAGGCACUGGAAUCAACAGUUUUGCUGGAUAUUCACAAUAUAGCUUGUGGGAGUAAGCAUUCGGUUCUGGUUACUAAACAAGGAGAAAUGUAUAUAGUUGGGGUGAAGAGUCAGGUGGUAGGCUCGGGCAUGGAGUUGAUACCAAUCUUACCCACCCUAAGCUUAUUAGUACCUUGAGUGGAAUUAAUAUUGAAUCCGUUGCAUGCGGGGAAUUUCAUACUUGUGCUGUUUCUUUUUGUGGGGAUCUCUACACCUGGGGUGAUGGAAUGCACAAUUUUGGUCUUCUUGGUCAUGGGAAUGAUACUGCUCAUUGGAUUCCAAAAAAGGUCUGUGGUCCAUUGGAAGGAUUGCAUAUCUCAUCGGUAUCAUGUGGACCUUCGCAUACAGCCGUAGUGACUUCAGCUGGCCAGUUGUUCACUUUUGGCGAUGGAGUAUUUGGUGCAUUGGGCCAUGGAGAUCGCCAAAGCACAAAUGUUGCAAGGGAAGUGAGCUCUCUAAGAGGCUUACGAACUGUACUUGCAGCUUGUGGUGCUUGGCAUACAGUUGCGAUAGUUGAGGUUGUAGAUUCUCUAAAUUCUGCCACAUCUUGUAAACUAUUCACAUGGGGAGAUGGCAAUAAAGGUCAGCUUGGACAUGCUGACAGGGAAACCAGACUCAUCCCAGCCUAUGUGGAAUCACUUCGUAAGCUUAGUUUUUGCCAAGUAGCUUGUGGCUAUGACUUUACGGCAGCCUUGUCAACUUCUGGGCAAGUGUACACAAUGGGCAGUAAUGCUUUUGGACAACUUGGAAAUCCGACGAUUGAUGGGAAGCUCCCCACUGUUGUUAAAGGGAGCAUCUCCAGCAGUUGUGUUGAAGAGAUAGCCUGUGGUUCUCAUCAUGUUGCUCUGCUGACUUCUAAAGCUAGAGUUUAUACUUGGGGCAAGGGUGCGAAUGGUCGUUUAGGGCAUGGCAAUAAUUUUGAUCGGAAUACUCCAACUCCUGUUGAGGCUUUGAAAGAUAAGCAAGUGAAGAGUGUGGCAUGUGGUACAGAUUUCACUGCUGUUAUAUGUUUCCAUAGGUGCACAUCUGGUUUGGAUCAGUCACUAUGCUCUGGCUGUCGUUUGCAAUUUAGUUUUAUAAGAAAGAGGCAUAACUGUUAUAACUGUGGCUUAGUAUAUUGCAAAGCAUGCAGCAUGAGAAAAUCAACAAAAGCUUCUUUGGCUCCAAAUUCGAACAAACCAUAUCGGGUAUGUGAUGAGUGCUGCACCAAACUUAAUACGGCCGGGGAUGCUAAAAAACUGCAGAACUCAAAGCCUCUUGAUGGAAACCCACAUCCUUUAUCCAGUGAAGCAACUGAUAGAGAAAACACAGUUAAGAGUUUGCGAGUGCGUAUAUCUAGGUUUUUGACCAUGGAAUCAUUCAAGCCUGAAGGUAAACACUCAAGGAAUAACAGCCGGUUUCCUCUUCAUCAUUCAGGAAACUUAAGCUUUGGUAGUAUAGGCCAUUCCAAGGAGUUGACUUCUUUGUGCAUUCCUACCUCGACGGCAUUACCCCUGUCCUGUGGUCCGAUUUCACCACAUCCUACUAAUAGAUUAACUACAUCUGUCCUAACAUCACCAGACUCUGCCUGUGCAUAUCCGUCAAACAAAAAUAUGACUGAAGAAGUUGCUAGAUUGCAAUCACAGGUGAAAGAGCUGACACGUAAGUCUGAAUUACUUGAAGCAGAACUUGACAGAACUAAUAAUCAGUUAAGAGAGGCCAGGACUACUGCUGCUGAGGAGAACUUGAAGUGCAAAGCAGCAAAAGAAGUUAUCAGUUCCCUUACUACUCAGAUCAGAAGUAUAACCGAAAGAACACCUGAAGAGUGUCCUGUCAACGACACCUGGACCAGUCAAGUAUCUAAGUUGUUAGGAAGUCAUUUCUGCGAGAACCAUUUGAACGAUGUUUCAAGGGCACCUGCUUCCAGCGCCCACCUGGCUCAUCAGUCGCCUUGCAAAGAGAACAGCAUUGUAGCAGACGUGGAAUGGACUGAACAGGUUGAACAUGGUGUAUACAUCACGAUAUUUCGCUCACCAGCGGGUCAUAAAUACCUCAGGCGUGUCCGUUUCAGCAAGAGGCAUUUCACGGAACAACAAGCAGAGCGAUGGUGGGCCGAGCACCGGCCAACUCUACACGAGCAGUAUGGUAUCCUGACUGGAGACAGUAUCAUCCCGUCGUGAACAUCCCAAGCAAAGGGAUAGGAUUUUAUCAUCAGCUAACUGGUGUGUAAAGCAUAACUUCUUCUGGCAAAUGUACAUCUUUACUUGUCUGGUCUCUGUUCAUCGAUUUUUUUUUACAUGCCUGGUGGAUUCUGUGAGCGACCAGUUUUUAGGGUGGUCCGCCCAACAGAUGCAUGUAUGCUGUAUAGAGCUAGAGCUUUCCUGCCCGACGAAGUCAGUUUUGUUAAUCGUGGCUUCUCUCUGUACGACAUAAAUAGUUUCAGGCAAUAUUUCCUUUUUCUCUUUGGUUUAGUGGCACUCAUGUACGUAGUUGGCUGAAAUAUCCAUGUGAGAUACUCAAAUGGAUCGGACUUGCUGGACUUGAAAGUAAAUUGCCUGGGUUUCAGGUUGAAAAA
Molecule: RNA transcript, 3848 nt
Organism: Aegilops tauschii subsp. strangulata
Lineage: Eukaryota; Viridiplantae; Streptophyta; Magnoliopsida; Poales; Poaceae
Gene name: PH, RCC1 and FYVE domains-containing protein 1
Source: RefSeq, a predicted model, not a curated record